Molecule: ribosomal RNA, 186 nt
Filed under: Triticum aestivum (bread wheat)
Lineage: Eukaryota; Viridiplantae; Streptophyta; Magnoliopsida; Poales; Poaceae
Description: partial small subunit ribosomal RNA
Source: RNAcentral
AUGGCUUGGUGGAAAUUGUGUGUGCCAAAGAGUAAAGGGGGCAUGGGCUUCACAGAUAUUAAUUCCAUUAAUCUGGCACAACUUGCAAAACAAGCUUGGAGGCUUAUUGAUAAACCAGAUUCUUUGUGUGCUACAGUUCUUAAGGCCAAGUAUUUCCCUUAAGGACACUUGCUUAAUGCCAAGUGA